This 1377-nucleotide long non-coding RNA is filed under the name Mytilus galloprovincialis (Mediterranean mussel). Lineage: Eukaryota; Metazoa; Mollusca; Bivalvia; Mytilida; Mytilidae. The record is from RNAcentral.
AUUGUAUUGAUAAACGGAAUAACCAUGUGCAAUCAAUAGAAUGUGACGGAUCUGUUGUAUUAUUGAUUUAUAUUCAAUGCGGAAAUGUUGUGUCUGUAGAUCUAAUCUCGGAUGAUUUCUACUAAAGUGUGGCAUUGUUGACAUCAGGUAAGACAAUAAUAUAGUUCAGCGAAAACAACGGAUAAGGCGAUAGUCACUUGGGUGGUGAAAAAUUUAAUCGUUAGCUUUCUAUAGAUUAUUGUUAGCUCUUCGCAAGUACGCAUCCAUGCUAAAUCUUACAAAUGAUAAAUGUAGACUAUCAAAAUAUAUCGAAAUGUUCCAUUUGUUAUUUGUAUACUCAGCAACACUUCAAUCAUAGAAGGUGUGGCUAUAAAUGGCGAUAUGUUGAAUACUCCAAAUCAAUUUAUCUUGUAGCAAAUCAUCCAGCGUAUGAAAGAUUAUCUUAUAACUUCAACCAAUGUCCAAAUACCCGUAUUAACCAAUGAGCUUUGUCCAAUCAUUUAGCCACCGACUAUCAUAUGUAAUAAGUGUUUCUGGUGGAAAUGGUAUUUUUUCUUCAAAACAAUCAUUGUUUUUUCAACUCUAUCAAUCCAAGAUCUAGAUAUGUUUGAAUCUAUUAUAUUUCUUAUAUUUUGUUUGAUAAAUUUCAAUUAGCAACCAACGUUUGAUCAAUUCCAUUCUUCUGCAAUUAUAAAGCCAAUGGCAUUGAUGCUACAUAUAAAGUGUCUGUAUGUCUCAUAAUGAUAUAUUUCUAUUGUCUUUUCAGCUUUUAAAUGCCAAAAAAGAUGAGUUUAUAUUAACCAAGCCACUGCACUAUCUAGUUUAUAGGUAUUAGUCAAUAUUACGACAGUAGUGCGGUGCCUCUAAUAACAAUCUUUGUUAACACAAGUCGUCCCGAGUUCUAUAAUAACACUUUUUUCUUACACCGGCCGCGGAUUAAAGACAGUUAAGAAGAACAAGUGGAUGGUCUCGUGUUUUAUAAUGGGGAUAAUUUUAUAAUAAUCACCGUCUUAUUGCUCUUGUUUUAUAUCACAGCCCUGAUAGUGGUGAGUGCCUCACAUAUAUGGAUACAUAGGAGACAAAGACAGAAUAUCGAAAAUACGGACGAAAACUUAGAAUUAGACAAGGAUAGUUUGUUAACAGCGUUCAAAGGGAUUACUGAUUUAUAUAUGAAUGAAAAAAGAAAUUGAUACCGUUAAAGGAAAAUUGGCAAUGCGUCAUUUGUCGACACGCUAUAUUGUAUUUCUAGUGUAAAAUAAAGGCAGCAUGUUGUUGUCAUUUUUUGUAGCAUUCUUUCUAAACUGAGUCUAAAGAAAACACCGUGGCAAAAGAGAAAAAAAAUCAAAAAUCAGUCAACAUCGAUGAAAAGGAAACAAC